GCUUGGUGAGCACCGCUGUGACGAAGCUGGGGUCGGCGUGGGCAAACAGUGGCAUGUGGGCCACCAGGCCCCGGCAGCGGUGUUCAUAGUACUCAUGGAUGCGCUGCCGUGUGUCAGCCGGCAGCUUGUGGAAGGACAUGUACUGCUCCACCUGCUUGUACUGCAGCCCAGCCAAUGGCCCGCAGGCAAGAGGACACAGGUACAGAUGUGGAGCAGGAACAGUGGCAGAAGCUACUCAGGCAAAAGAGCCCUCAGAAGGCCCCAGAGAGGCAGAGCUGCGGGGAGUUCUCACCACCAUGUGGUUGAUGGAGACCCA
Molecule: long non-coding RNA, 316 nt
Organism: Manis javanica (Malayan pangolin)
Lineage: Eukaryota; Metazoa; Chordata; Mammalia; Pholidota; Manidae
Source: RefSeq, a predicted model, not a curated record